GGCAUGAGGAUUGAGUCGACUCGUGCAGAAUUCGAGUCGAUACCUUUACAGGAACAGAAAACUAUUAUUUAGAUCCUAUAGCUAAGCCGACUCGAUAAGAUUUUGAGUUGAUUCGGAGAUGACAGGAGUCAAUUUGAAGACAGUCGAGUCGACUCGAGCUACAGGACAGACUUCAACGGUUAGUUUUUUGUACUUCUCCAAUGGAGUGAUUUUCACUCCAAUGGCUAGUUCAACC
Molecule: long non-coding RNA, 235 nt
Filed under: Elaeis guineensis (African oil palm)
Lineage: Eukaryota; Viridiplantae; Streptophyta; Magnoliopsida; Arecales; Arecaceae
Description: long non-coding RNA (EGUI_LNC024727)
Source: RNAcentral